AGCUCCAAUAGCGUAUAUUAAAGUUGCUGCAGUUAAAAAGCUCGUAGUUGCAUUUCCGAGGCAAGGGAUUAGUCCGACCUUUGGUGGGUAUUUAAUCCUCUUGCCUCGUCCUUGAGUGGUGCUUCUUGGUAUUAAGUUAUCGAGGAGAUAGCCGCUCAUCGUUUACUGUGAGAAAAUUAGAGUGUUCAAAGCAGGCUUAUGCCGUUGAAUAUAUUAGCAUGGAAUAAUAAGAUAGGACCUCGGUACUAUUGUGUUGGUUUGAGAACCAAGGUAAUGAUAAAUAGGGACAGUUGGGGGUAUUCGUAUUCAGUUGUCAGAGGUGAAAUUCUUAGAUUUACGGAAGACGAACUACUGCGAAAGCAUUUACCAAGGAUGUUUUCA
This 381-nucleotide ribosomal RNA is filed under the name uncultured marine Chaetocerotaceae. Its description in RNAcentral is "SSU rRNA". It matches the Rfam family "Eukaryotic small subunit ribosomal RNA", at positions 587 to 972 of the family's 1831-position model. The record is from RNAcentral. Lineage: Eukaryota; Bacillariophyta; Thalassiosirophyceae; Chaetocerotales; Chaetocerotaceae.